RNAcentral lists this long non-coding RNA (8286 nucleotides) under Theobroma cacao (cacao). RNAcentral describes it as "long non-coding RNA (TCAC_LNC006026)". The record is from RNAcentral. Lineage: Eukaryota; Viridiplantae; Streptophyta; Magnoliopsida; Malvales; Malvaceae.
GGUGGUUUGGCGUGAAGUGAACUCUAAAAGUGUUAGCCUUAGGAGUUAUCCACCCGCGCCUCUCAUACUGAGGUAAGAUAUAACGGGUUUACCAUGCCCCUCUAAUAGGCUGGUCCACGAAAACCCGCCCACUGUAGUAAGCUCAUCAUUAUCCCACCAAUCAAUAAAAUUCAAUAACAUGAUAUGUCAAUUAUUGUAAUUCACAGCCUUUCAAGGCUAAAUACACAGUUCAUAUAUUUCAACACAAAUACCAAUUCAGCCAUUCAUGCAAAUAUUGUCAUAAGCCAGUCAAUUCAAACCAUGAAUUUACAACACUUCAAGUGGUCUCCAGUUACUCUAUUUUCAAAAUCAUCAUUCAAUUUCAAGACAAUUUAUAAAAUCAUUUUAUUUAAACACAUUUUGUUUAUAAAACAAAAAGAUUUACCAUUUAAACUCAUUUUCCAUAAAAUUCACAAAAUCGAAUAAAAACCACUCUAGAUAAUUAAGACGAUAGUAAGGUUACUCACUAUACUAGGAGUUCGAUAUACUCCUAUUCUCGGUCUUCGGGUACAAUCUCUUUACCUUUGUUAGAGGGCUCACCACCUAUACAUUAUACGUGACAUGAAUUUCAAUAAAUUGUGUCAAUUUAUCAUAAACUAUUUCAAGCUCUCUAAAUCUAAAUGAAUGCAUGCGAUGGGAUGCAAAAUGUCUGAUUAAUCACUUAAAUGUGAUAUUUGACCUAAGUCACACUAUACUCGGUCUAAUCGGCUAAAAUCUCCAAUUUAACUCCAAAUCAAUUCUUCUCACUUUCUACACUCCAAUUAUACCUAAAUUACCUUAGUGAUUGUGAAUGAGAUUCAAUUUAUCAGUCUCGGGUCAAUAAUCACACAUGUCUAUACAGUAAGCAAAAAUUCAGAUUUUCACACCAAAAUUUCCUAUUUAAUUUCUAGCCUCACCAAACAUCAAAUAUCACCAAAAUAUCAUCAAAUAUCAUCAAUUUCAGUCACAAUAUUCUCCCUAGAAAAUUCGACCAAUGAUGGGUAAUGGGAGAAAAUGAAUUUUUCUUGUUGGUUUGUUUCUAGACAUGAUAAACUAACUAAAAACACUAACAUAACUUACAAUCAAAUCAAUCCAACUUCAUUCUCUCUCCAUACCCAUUCCAACCAGCCAUGAAUUCACCAUGAAAACAUGAAAUCUAACCAUGGAAAAUGAAAAAGAAAGCAUGGGUAGUGUAAAUCAUAAGUCAAAAUCAAGAAAUUUUACCUUUAUUAGCUUAAUCCCUUGAAAUCCCACACUUUUUCUUCAAUUUUCCCACCUAGGGUUCUUGUUUUUUUUCCUUUUCUCCUUUGUUCUUCUUUGGCCGGCCAUAUCAAUGAGAAAUGGGCUGAUUUUGUAUUAAUUUUAAAGCUAAAAAUUUAAUGGUUAUAAUUAUGCCAUGUGUCACCAUUUCAUUGAUCCAUUUUUAUUUCUUAACUAUUAAGCUUUCUCUCUCCACCAUAUAAAUUUCUUCAAUUAUCCAUGAUAAAAUUGGAUAAAAUCCAUAUGUUGGACAAGUGUUCUGGUGGUGGAAAAUUACUGUUUUGCCCUUAGGGUGGUAAAAUUACCAUUUUACCCCUAUACUCCCCGAAAAAUACCGAAAUUAUAAUUUUUCACUUCUCAACCUCAAAUCACACUCCAAUAAGUCAAAUAUGAUCAAAAUCUUUGAAAAAAAAUUUCCCAUUUUGUCCUCGAGUGGCAAAAUUACCAUUUUGCCCCUAGAUAGUGAAAUUUUCGGCUUGACUCUAAAUGAUCAUAUUAAACCAUUCUGGGACUUUAAAAUUCUUAAUUUUCUCUUAAGUUCUCUAUUUGAUCUAGUUCAAGGUUUAAAUCAAUUUUUUUGUACUUCUAGGUAUAGUACUGACUUUUGUCGAUUUUUCGGGGCUCUCCUAGUAUGUAAACAUUCAAUCACAUGCAUGUCAUGACAAGUAUUUUACAAAGUCAGGCUUGACAUCUUUUCCCCCACUUGGAUCAACCAUAUGAUCCUUUUUCAUGACUGAUUUCGACAUCUGGCUAAAUAUUAAUAUUUUAAUAUUAUUUCAUUAAUAAAAUAUUAUUUUAUUCUAAAAAUUUUAUCUUGUCUCUUUGGUUCCUAAAGUUCCUUAUUAUGCCUUAAUUUGCAUCCGACCAACUUAUUUAUCACCAUAUCAAAGUAUGGGGCAUUUCAAUCUCCCCCACUUAAAUAGAAUUUGUCCUCGAAUUCACGUCCAUGUUACGUUAUCAAUCUCCUUCUAUGAUCCUAUUCCUUUUUCCUUCUAUAGGGACAUUCAAUUUAUUUACCUCGUUCACCUUCAAUUCAAUUAAAUGCUCUAUUUAUGGCAAUUAUCAUCCUUUGAAGCCAGAUCAACAGUACCUUUCACAAUCAUGAUUUCUUAUAUUGAGUCACUAAGCAUACCUUUAUCACCCUUAUUAAAUUUGAAUCAUAACUUCAUCUCAAUUAUACCGAUUUCGAUCACAUAUCAUUCUUACUUAUGUAUACCUAAUCAUCAUUUUGUUAAUUUGCUCCAUGCCAAAUUUCUCAACCUUAAUUCAUUCAUCUUAUACUGGUCCAUACCUUUCCUUUAAUAGAGUUCCAUUAAGAACUUAAACAAUUCAAGGUUUACCUUUAAAGUCACUCAUAACUUUAAUCGUUUAUUGCAUGCUCGAUAACACUUUAGCUCACUGACCUCUCUGGACAUUAUUUCAAAAUCUCCCAAUUACUGAGAACAAUUCUUCACCUUAGUUAGUCAAAUUAUCAAUUUCAUAUAUACAUAUAUACAUGUAUUUUCAAAUGUCAACAUCUCUCAUUAUGUAUAGGGAUCCAUGUGUUCACAUGCCUUGGACUACAUUCCCCUUUAUUCAUCCACAUCCCAAUCCUAGUUUCAAUAAAAUAAUUAUUAUAGUGCAUGUCAACCUUCUUAUUAUACUUGCUUAUAACUUCAUAUCAUUUAUAUCAUUUCCAACCAUAUGCUUGAGUUUUAUCAUGCUAUAUCCUCACAUCACAAUGUCAUUAAUCACAUCUCACCUAAUAAAUGUCACUUAAAAACUUAGACUGUUUUGAAUCAUGCAUGCCUUAUGCAUUUUCAAAUUCCAAUUUUCAUACUACCUUAGGAAAUUUUCAUUAUCAAGCUUCAUUAUCGAAAUUAUCUUCAUUCAUCCUUUAUUCUGUUCUUCCAUACUAAUGUGAUAUCAUUCUCCCUAGACCAAUUUGCAGUUUGUACUUAAAACUGUAAUACUUGAAAUAAGGUUCUUCUAAGUACUUUUCAAUAUCAAUACAAAUUUCACUUCCAACUUACGGCUUCCUCUUUACAGCCACAUAAUUUAAUGCUAGCUUCCACAAAAUCCGUAGCAAAACUCUUCUGGAGUAUUUCCUUGGGAAUAUCUACCUUAGACUUAUGUCUCACAGUAUAUGAUCACUUAACUUGUGACUUAGCCAUUUGGCUCCUUUGUAAAUUUCAAAAUCACACAUCUCAUACUAAUCUUGUACAAUUUCAUAAUUCUUCAUCAAAGAUGUUUAAAUAUUCUUGAAACACUUAAUCACUUAUUUACUCUUUCAUACUCUAAGUAUAUCAUUUCCAUAAAGGCAUGCCCAACUACUCAUGCUUCAACUUAUCUCCAAGGGUUUCUAUCAUACCCUGUAAUUUACUUGUGUUGUCACUAAUCCUUUCCUUUCAACAAAGUCAAGACAAUAUUAGUACAUUCUCAUAACAAUAUUCUAUAUAAACUCAUUUGCUAUAUCAUUCUUGAAAUCUCCAUUCACACUCUCAUCACUUCGUAUUGACAUCUCUUAUCAACAUCUCAAUAUUCAUCUAACCUUUCCCUAACUUCCUUUUUAACCUUUUACAAGAUUCACUUUAUUUCUGAAGAUUUGACUUUAGUCAACAUAUUAUUCCUUUUAACACUCCACAUGUUAAUUUAUUUUUUUAUGUAGCCAUCUCAAAAACUCUCUAACUUUUCUUUCUCUUACGUGCCCAUAUAUAAGGCAAUAAAGAAACUCUGCAAUUUCACUCAUUAUCUUUAUCUUAAUACCUCCCCAAUGCACUUAAGACUCCAACAACAAAGCUUAGCAUCAAAACCAAUAACCAUAUUUCAACUCGUGAGUUUCAUCUUUAUGCCGCUUACAGUUUACUCUUACUUUCUAACCAUUAGGGGUUCUUAACGCGACAGAGUUUGAUGGUCAGUACUGUGGCGUUGCAACUGUUUGUAUUCACAUUAUCCCAGCAACUCUUCCACCUUUAAAGCUACUACCUCAAUUAUUCACAAUCGUGUGGCUUCCCUCUGAGUCUAUACCACAAUUAGCAAGACUAACUUUCUAUCACAAAUCUGCAGUCAGAACACUGAUUUACGUAUUUAUUUUGCCACUAACAUUCAUAUAUCUUUACCAUAACAUUUAGUACGAGCUUACUCAAGCAAAAAUCUCCAAAUUUAUUCAUAGUUACAUGUAUCUCAAAUUGCCCAUCACUUAUCUUCAGUCAAUAAAUCUCACUUUAGAACACUCUUUCCAUAUUGUAUAGUAACUUCACCAUAUAGUAUCACGGCACUAUAUUCCUCCAUUCUACUAUCAUGCAUACUCCACAGAAUUUAAUUAGAAGAUUUACGUACCUUAACUAAUGCCAAUUCCAUUUAAUCAUAUCUUAAAUACUCCAAACUUGUAAAUUACAACUCCAAGUGUAUGUCCAUAUAUUAAUAAUCUUUAUAUAUUUCAUGAUCAUGAAAACUACAACUUACAAACUAGCUUUCGAUCAUAUGCACACUAUUAGAACAUUAGUUUCAACAUGUUUAAUUCUCCUUUGGUGAUAUGUUAAGAUCAUUCCUGGAUACAUUUCCAUAUUAACAUUGAUAUGCCUUUACCAUAGCAUUUAGUGCAAAUUUGAUGAAGGAAUUGUCUCUAAAUAACUCUUAAAUACAUAAUUAUCAAAUUGUACACCACUAAAUGUUAAGAUCUUGACUUUAUCCAUCAAUAACCAAUUACAUUUGUUAAGCGAAAAAUUUACUUAGUUAUUACACCUUACCUUUGCGAUCAUAAGAUCAAAGUUGUCUUAAACUUAGGAUGCAAAAGUUCUCUCUCUUAGAGUAUAUCCAAGCAUCAACAUUUUCUAAAUUCCUUACUCUGGGGAAAUCACCUUCAAGACUGAUCAUUCGUAUCAUAGGCCACACUUUGAAUCGAAUAAACUUUUAAAUUGAUCUUUCAAGUAGUUCGUAAUCAGUCUCAAUUAUAGAACUUCAUAUGGCACUUAGAAUAGAUUCGACAUUUCCAAGUCAUUUAACCUCAAGCUGCCAAUUCCACAUUUAGUCUUUUAAUCCCUUGGCUCUCUCUUUUUCUAUGCAUAGCUAAGUUCAAUCUCAUCCUUAAAGCAGAUUUGUUUACUAACUUCUUACUUUAUGACCACACAUCAAUUAUAGUAAUCAUUGAUACUCACUCUCGAGUUAAUUCACGUGCUUAUAUCCAUGAAUUAUAAUAAGUCCAAUCAAUUCUUGAAAUCUCAUAGUCCCUAAAUCUUUUUCCAAUUGACAACCAUGAGUUUAAUUAUAACUCCACCAAAUGAAUAAAUUAUCACGGCCUAUUAGUCCAACUCCAAAUUUCUCCAUCCUUAAUCGGAGGGAUAUAUCAUUUCAUUAAUCUUUCAUUAAGAGCAUUCGUUUUAAGAUUUCUCUAACACUAGCUUGUGUCGUGGGUAGCAUCUUAAACCCGGACAACUGCCCUACUUAUGACCUUUGCAUGACAUUAACAAAGAAGUGGAUUACUGGGAACAGGAGUUCAUAUAGCUUCUUGUCUAUGACUUAUGCUCCCAUAAGAUCUACAAGAAGAAAUAAAACGAGUCUAAACAACUCCAAAUUCUAUAUGCAGAUGCACAUAUUCUAUUCUAUCAAACCUAACUUAACUUAACUUAACUCGGGCCACACUGACACUGUAGUUUUUAAAAUAACUUUAAAACCAAAAACUUUUAUCUUUCAAACCAAAAGCUUUGAUACCAAUAAGAUUAUCACGACCCGGUACUCCCCUUAAGCCCGUGACAACAGUUACGACGUCCCAGUAGACAUUCGUUACCCGGAGUGCCAACAGGAAUCCCGCAAGGCUUUAAUACCAUUUUUCUCAUCUCCCCUAUGAGUAAUCAUCGCCAAACCUCGUUUUUAAAGAAUUUUAAGCUUUUUCCCUUUCAAAACCGUGAAAAAAUAAUUUUCGCCUCACAGAAACAUUUUCGUCAUUUUUCCUCAAAAUUUUUCGAACUCGACAAAAAAAGUAGUAGAUGAGUGGAAAACAUAUAUUUCAUGAUUUAAAAUAAAUUUGACAGUCUAAAACAUUUACUAAAAAUAAUAUUACAACUAUUUGAAUAAAAUAAAAAUAUUCAAUAAAAUAUUCUAAUUUCUUGUAAAACAAUAUUUAUAGAGUCAUCGGUAAUUAAUUUUUUUUGUAAUGUAAAAGCUAAAAAAAUUCAUACGUACUACAAUACAGAUAACCGGGAUAUGAAAUUUACUUUACAGUGACUCGUGGGCCCACAAGGAACAAAAGUGCACAAAGGUAGUAAACCUACAGUUUUUGGAGUAGUAAAGCCGACUAUAGCCUUCGACGAUAUUACCUAUCUACACACUAUCCUGAGCCUGAAAUGGGUGGAAAUGAGGGUGGUGAGAUUAUAUAAUCCCAGUGAGUAAACAAAUACCAUCUAAAAUAUCUAAAGCCGAGUAAAUAGAUACAAUUAAAAUAAAUCAUCAUACUAUAAUUUCAUUACCUUUCAACUUAUUUCAACCAAAUAAACAACUAGGCUUAUGAUUUCCUGAAAGCUUGGCUCGUGCCAAAAAUCAUUCUCAUACUCAGUUAUCAGGGAUGCCUUGAUCGAGGGCUAUAUCAAUCGAGUCCGUCAAGGUUGUUAAAAAGUCAUGUACGCAUAAAUUAUGUUUUUAUUUUGAAAACAUAACCGUUCCUUGGCGUUGGCUGAGUUCACCCUCACGUGGUGGUUUGGCGCAAAGUGAAUUCUAAAAGUGUUAGCCUCAGGAGUUUUCCACCUGCGCCUCUCAUAUUGAGGUAAGAUAUAACAGGGUUUACCGUGCCCCUCUAAUAGGCUGGUCCACGAAAACCCGCCCACUGCAGUAAGCUCAUCAUUAUCCCACCAAUCACUAAAAUUCAAUAACAUGAUAUGGCAAUUAUUGUAAUUCACAGCCUUUCAAGGCUAAAUACACAGUUCAUAUAUUUCAACACAAAUACCAAUUCAGCCAUUCAUACAAAUAUUGUCAUAAGCCAGUCAAUUCAAACCAUGAAUUUACAACACCUUAAGUGGUCUCCAGUUACUCUAUUUUCAAAGUCAUCAUUCAAUUUCAAGACAAUUUAUAAAAUCAUUUUAUUUAAACACGUUUUGUUUGUAAAUAGAAAGAUUUACCAUUUAAACUCAUUUUCCAUAAAAUCCACAAAAUCGAAUAAAAAUCACUCUAGAUAAUUAAGACGAUAGUAAGGUUACUCACUGUACUAGGAGUUCGAUAUACUCCUAUUCCCAGUCUUCGGGCACAAUCUCUUUACCUUUAUUAGAGGGCUCACCACUUAUACAUCAUACGUGACAUGAAUUUCAAUAAAUUGUGUCAAUUUAUCAUAAACUAUUUCAGGCUCUCUAAAUCUAAAUGAAUGCAUGCGAUGGGAUGCAAAAUGUCCGAUUAAUCACGUAAAUGUGAUAUUCGACCUAAGUCACACUAUACUCGGUCUAAUCGGUUAAAAUCUCCAAUUUAAUUCCAAAUCAAUUCUUCUCACUUUCUACACUCCAAUUAUACCUAAAUUACCUCAGUGACUGUGAAUGAGAUUCAAUUUAUCAGUCCCGGUUCAAUAAUCACACAUGUCUAUACAUUAAGCAAAAAUUCAGAUUUUCACACCAAAGUUUCCCAUUUAAUUUCUAGCCUCACCAAACAUCAAAUAUCACCAAAAUAUCAUGAAAUAUCAUCAAUUUCAACCACAAUAUCCUCCCUAGAAAAUUUGGCCAAUGAUUGGUAAUGGGAGAAAAUGAAUUUUUCUUGUUGGUUUGUUUCUAGACAUGAUAAACUAACUAAAAACACUAACAUAACUUAGAAUCAAAUCAAUCCAACUUCAUUCUCUCUCCAUACCCAUUCCAACCAGCCAUGAAUUCACCAUGAAAACAUGAAAUCUAACCAUGGAAAAUGAAAAAGAAAGCAUGGGUACUGUAAAUCACAAGUCAAAAUAAAAAAAAUUUACCUUUAUUAGCUUAAUCCCUUGAAAUCCCACACUUUUUCUUCAAUUUUCCCACCUAGGGUUCUUGUUUUUUUCCUUUCCUCCUUUGUUCUUCUUUGGCCGGC